AGAGUUUGAUCCUGGCUCAGAACGAACGCUGGCGGCAGGCCUAACACAUGCAAGUCGAACGAGAAGCCACCUUCGGGUGGUGGACAGUGGCAGACGGGUGAGUAACGCGUGGGAACGUGCCUUUCGGUUCGGAAUAACUCAGGGAAACUUGGGCUAAUACCGGAUACGCCCUUCGGGGGAAAGAUUUAUCGCCGAAAGAUCGGCCCGCGUCGGAUUAGCUUGUUGGUGGGGUAAAAGCCCACCAAGGCGACGAUCCGUAGCUGGUCUGAGAGGAUGAUCAGCCACACUGGGACUGAGACACGGCCCAGACUCCUACGGGAGGCAGCAGUGGGGAAUAUUGGACAAUGGGCGCAAGCCUGAUCCAGCCAUGCCGCGUGGGUGAAGAAGGCCCUAGGGUUGUAAACCCCUUUCAGCGGGGAAGAUAAUGACGGUACCCGCAGAAGAAGCCCCGGCUAACUCCGUGCCAGCAGCCGCGGUAAUACGGAGGGGGCUAGCGUUGUUCGGAAUUACUGGGCGUAAAGCGCGCGUAGGCGGACUUUCAAGUCAGGGGUGAAAUCCCGAGGCUCAACCUCGGAACUGCCUCUGAUACUGUAAGUCUUGACACCGAAAAAAGGUUGAUCGAAAUUCCCUAGUGUAGAGGGUGAAAUUUCUUAGAAUAUUAAGGAAAAAACACCCUGUGGCCAAAAGGCGGCUUCCCCU
Molecule: ribosomal RNA, 699 nt
Filed under: uncultured bacterium
Lineage: Bacteria
Description: bacterial SSU rRNA
Rfam family: Bacterial small subunit ribosomal RNA
Source: RNAcentral